UUUAAGUCAGUUGUGAAAGUUUGCGGCUCAACCGUAAAAUUGCAAUUGAUACUGGAUAUCUUGAGUGCAGUUGAGGCAGGCGAAUUUCGUGGUGUAGCGGUGAAAUGCUUAGAUAUCACGAAGAACUCCGAUUGCGAAGGCAGCCUGCUAAACUGCAACUGACAUUGAGGCUCGAAAGUGUGGGUAUCAAACAGGAUUAGAUACCCUGGUAGUCCACACGGUAAACGAUGAAUACUCGCUGUUUGCGAUAUACUGCAAGCGGCCAAGCGAAAGCGUUAAGCAUUCCACCUGGGGAGUACGCCGGCAACGGUGAAACUCAAAGGAAUUGACGGGGGCCCGCACAAGCGGAGGAACAUGUGGUUUAAUUCGAUGAUACGCGAGGAACCUUACCCGGGCUUAAAUUGCAGAUGAAUUACGGUGAAAGCCGUAAGCCGCAAGGCAUCUGUGAAGGUGCUGCAUGGUUGUCGUCAGCUCGUGCCGUGAGGUGUCGGCUUAAGUGCCAUAACGAGCGCAACCCUUGUUGUCAGUUACUAACAGGUUCCGCUGAGGACUCUGACAAGACUGCCAUCGUAAGAUGUGAGGAAGGUGGGGAUGACGUCAAAUCAGCACGGCCCUUACGUCCGGGGCUACGCACGUGUUACAAUGGGGGGUACAGAGGGCCGCUACCACGCGAGUGGAUGCCAAUCCCCAAAACCUCUCUCAGUUCGGACUGGAGUCUGCAACCCGACUCCACGAAGCUGGAUUCGCUAGUAAUCGAGCAUCAGCCACGGCGCGGUGAAUACGUUCCCGGGCCUUGUACACACCGCCCGUCAAGCCAUGGGAGCCGGGGGUACCAGGAGUGCGUAACCGCGAGGAGCGCCCUAGGGUAAAAC
This 872-nucleotide ribosomal RNA is filed under the name uncultured organism. RNAcentral describes it as "SSU rRNA". It matches the Rfam family "Bacterial small subunit ribosomal RNA", at positions 582 to 1468 of the family's 1533-position model. The record is from RNAcentral.